GCGCCCAUAGCUCAGCUGGAUAGAGCGCCGGUCUACGGAACCGGAAGUCGGAGGUUCGAAUCCUUCUGGGCGCG
Molecule: transfer RNA, 74 nt
Filed under: Sandaracinaceae bacterium
Lineage: Bacteria; Pseudomonadati; Myxococcota; Polyangiales; Sandaracinaceae
Description: tRNA-Arg
Rfam family: tRNA
About the family: Transfer RNA (tRNA) molecules are approximately 80 nucleotides in length. Their secondary structure includes four short double-helical elements and three loops (D, anti-codon, and T loops).
Source: RNAcentral